This 429-nucleotide ribosomal RNA is filed under the name Gemmatimonadota bacterium. RNAcentral describes it as "Gemmatimonadetes bacterium partial 16S ribosomal RNA". It matches the Rfam family "Bacterial small subunit ribosomal RNA", at positions 355 to 776 of the family's 1533-position model. The record is from RNAcentral. Lineage: Bacteria; Pseudomonadati; Gemmatimonadota.
UAGGGAAUCUUCGGCAAUGGACGAAAGUCUGACCGAGCAACGCCGCGUGAGUGAAGAAGGUUUUCGGAUCGUAAAACUCUGUUGUUAGAGAAGAACAAGGACGUUAGUAACUGAACGUCCCCUGACGGUAUCUAACCAGAAAGCCACGGCUAACUACGUGCCAGCAGCCGCGGUAAUACGUAGGUGGCAAGCGUUGUCCGGAUUUAUUGGGCGUAAAGCGAGCGCAGGCGGUUUCUUAAGUCUGAUGUGAAAGCCCCCGGCUCAACCGGGGAGGGUCAUUGGAAACGGGGAGGCUUGAGUGCAGAAGGGGAGAGUGGAAUUCCAUGUGUAGCGGUGAAAUGCGUAGAUAUAUGGAGGAAAACCAGUGGCGAAGGCGGCUCUCUGGUCUGUAACUGACGCUGAGGCUCGAAAGCGUGGGGAGCAAACAGG